AACACUGUUAACCUGCGGUACCUGCGGAAGGAUCAUUACAGAGUUGCAAAACUCCCACAAACCAUCGCGAAUCUUACCCGUACGGUUGCCUCGGCGCUGGCGGUCCGGAAGGCCCUCGGGCCCCCGGACCCUCGGGUCCCCCGCUCGCGGGGGGCUGCCCGCCGGAGUGCCGAAACCAAACUCUUGAUAUUUUAUGUCUCUCUGAGUAAACUUUUAAAUAAGUCAAAACUUUUAACAAUG
RNAcentral lists this unclassified non-coding RNA (240 nucleotides) under soil metagenome. Its description in RNAcentral is "partial contains 5.8S ribosomal RNA, internal transcribed spacer 2, and large subunit ribosomal RNA". The record is from RNAcentral.